UACGAGCAUAACACAUUGAAACACUUGUUCGCGUAUGAACACAGAAGCUAAGCAACGACGGGCCUAGCCAGUACCUCGAUGGAUAAGCGCUUGGGAAUUCUUGUUACCGUAAG
Acanthosepion pharaonis is the source of this 113-nucleotide non-coding RNA. The record is from the annotation of a GenBank genome assembly. NCBI's taxonomy places the organism in Eukaryota, Metazoa, Mollusca, Cephalopoda, Sepiida, Sepiidae.